This 507-nucleotide ribosomal RNA is filed under the name Agelastica alni. RNAcentral's name for it is "partial 12S ribosomal RNA". Lineage: Eukaryota; Metazoa; Arthropoda; Insecta; Coleoptera; Chrysomelidae. The record is from RNAcentral.
UCCAGCAGUCGCGGUUAUACAAAAAAUAUAAUUUAACUAUAUUAAUAUCAAUUAAUUUGUUUAAUAUUUUAUUGUGAAAUUUAUUAAGUGAAAUUUUAAAUUUUAUAGAUAUUUUAUAGUUAAUGAUUUUGAGAAAAUUAAUUAAUAAACUAGGAUUAGAUACCCUAUUAUUUUAAUCGUAAAUACAUUAUUAAAUUAUUAAUAGUUAUAUUCUUGAAAAUUAAAAAAUUUGGCGGUAUUUUAAUCUUUUCAGAGGAACCUGUUCUAUAAAUGAUAAUCCACGAUAAAAUUUACUUUUUUUAUAAGUUUAUAUAUCAUCGUAAUAAAAUAUUUUUGAAGAAUUUUAAUAUUUAUAAUUUUUUAUUAAAAAAUAUAUCAGAUCAAGGUGUAGUUUAUAAAAAAGUAGAAAUGGGUUACAAUAUAUUUUAUUAUUUGAAUUAUUUUUAUUAAGAAAAUAUGAAAAUGGAUUUGAAAGUAAAUUUAAUUUAUUAGUAAAUGAUUAGGAGC